GGGCGUGUGGCUCAGUUGGUAGAGCGUUCGCUUAGCAUCUUCACUCAUCAGGAAAUGCGAAAGGUCCUGGGUUCGAUUCCCAGCUCGUCCA
Non-coding RNA from Triangularia setosa, 91 nucleotides. The record is from the annotation of a GenBank genome assembly. Lineage: Eukaryota; Fungi; Ascomycota; Sordariomycetes; Sordariales; Podosporaceae.